RNAcentral lists this ribosomal RNA (497 nucleotides) under uncultured bacterium. Its description in RNAcentral is "partial 16S ribosomal RNA". It matches the Rfam family "Bacterial small subunit ribosomal RNA", at positions 28 to 507 of the family's 1533-position model. The record is from RNAcentral.
GACGAACGCUGGCGGCGUGCCUAAUACAUGCCAGUAGAACGCUGAAGAGAGGAGCUUGCUCUUCUUGGAUGAGUCGCGAACGGGUGAGUAAAGCGUAGGUAACCUGCCUUGUAGCGGGGGAUAACUAUUGGAAACGAUAGCUAAUACCGCAUAACAAUGGCUGACACAUGUCAUUUAUUUGAAAGGGGCAAUGGCUCCACUACAAGAUGGACCUGCGUUGUUUUAGCUAGUAGGUGAGGUAAUGGCUCACCUAGGCGGCGAUACAUAGCCGAACUGAGAGGCGGGUCGGCCGCCCUGGGAGUGGGCCACGGCCCAGACUCCUGCGGGAGGCAGCAGUAGCGUAUCUUCGGCAAUGGGGGCAACUCUGACCGAAUAACGCCGCGUGAGUGACGAAGGUGUUCGGAUCGGGAAGCUCUGUUGUAAGUCAAGAACCGGUGUGAGAGUGGAAAGUUCACACUGUGACGGUAGCUGACCAGAAAGCGACGGCUAACUACGUG